RNAcentral lists this long non-coding RNA (761 nucleotides) under Trifolium pratense (red clover). Its description in RNAcentral is "long non-coding RNA (TPRA_LNC000456)". Lineage: Eukaryota; Viridiplantae; Streptophyta; Magnoliopsida; Fabales; Fabaceae. The record is from RNAcentral.
ACCGGACCGGCCGGUUGAACCGGUCGAACCGGGAACCGGAGUGUUCACCGGUCUGGUUCAAUUGCUGGACCGGACAUGCUUUUGAACCGGUGAGAACCGGCCAGAACCGUCAAAACCGGUAAAAACCGGAGAACCGGCGGUUUUGGAAAACCGGCGGUUUUAAUGCAUGAGUUUUUUUUUUUUACUUAUGUUUUUUUAAAAAAUAAAUAAAUAGAAAAUAGCAGAAACAAAAAUAAAAAGCUGAGACUUGAAGCGUAUCAGAAGACUAUAUUUUCUUUAGCAGAUAAAGAAGAAAGGGAUGAAAUACUUUAUAAUAAUUAUAUAAAAAAUUGUACAUAUUAUCCUAUAUUUUUUAGUUUUGAACCCGCUGAAAUUUUUUUUUUGCACCGAUAAUAAACUCCUCAUACACUCGCGAGCUAAAGAUGAAGAAGAAGUAUGUAGAAGUAUCAUGUUGUACACCAGUAGAAGAAUAGAAAAUGAAAUAAAGAAAGAAAGAAGCAGGGAGAUAAAAGAUGCGGCGCAGCAACUAUUCUUCAAUUGAUAAAGCACUAAUUUAGGGUUAUGUGUAUGUAUUUGAACCAAAAGAAAAGAUUAUGUAUAUUAUAUAUUAUGGGCUUGGGCCAUGCGUUUGUCACUUCUAAUUCCACUUAUUAUACACACAGUUUUGUACACAUAAUUUUUUUUUGGUACACAACCUUUUAUUUGGACUGAUAAAUUAUUAUAUACUGUCUUCAUUCCUAAUUAUAAGAUCAUGUUUGACC